AUGCCCCCAGCAGCAGCAGUCGAUGAGCAGGGAGCAGAUUUGCAUGCUGUGGCCUUAGGGGUGUGUGAGAAGGGGAUAAGAGAGCGAUACUCUCUCCACCCCUCGGCCUUUCCCCCCUCCUUUCCUCCAUCCCAUUCUGGAUCAUUAACGAAUUUCCUCGUUCCAGGUUCCGGUGCGCAGCCCGUGCUGACCCAGACGGCCUCCAUGGACAAGUCGCUGGGAGCCACGGUCAAACUCACCUGCACCCUGAGCAGCAGCUACAGUAAUUACUAUGUCAUUUGGUACCAGCAGUUGCCUGGAAAAUCCCCGCGCUAUGUGAUGAAGGUCAACAGUGAUGGGUCCUACACCAAGGGGGACGGGAUCCCCAACCGGUUCAGUGGUUCCAGCUCCGGUGACAAUCGCUACUUGACCAUCAGCGGUGUCCAGUCAGAGGAUGAGGCCGACUAUUAUUGUGGGGAGAGUCAUACCAUUGAUGGUCAGAAGGGUUCUCACAGAGACACAGGCCAUUGGGGAAGUGAGACAAAAACCUUCCUGGCCCAGCAGCUGGCCCGACCCUGGCUACCUCCUCUUCUUCUCAUCCCCCCCGACCAGUCUCUCCUCUCCCUCGGCCUCAGCCUCUCCUGCUCCUGCCGUCCCUGCUCAGAAUCAAGUUCCUGAGGCAGGCUGCAUUCUGAUCUGUGUGGGAUGCUCCUCCCCAUCUUCUGUCCUCUCCCUACCCAUUCUGCCAGCCCAGGUGCCCUAUGCAACCCCUUCCCCAGGGUCCAGGGGUUCUAGCCUCUCUCUGGAGGGACGUGACAGAUUCCAUGGGUCCUGGGUCUCUGUCUCUGGCACUGUGCAUGGGGACA
Ornithorhynchus anatinus (platypus) is the source of this 845-nucleotide non-coding RNA. The record is from the annotation of a RefSeq genome assembly. Lineage: Eukaryota; Metazoa; Chordata; Mammalia; Monotremata; Ornithorhynchidae.